Molecule: ribosomal RNA, 492 nt
Filed under: uncultured bacterium
Lineage: Bacteria
Description: partial 16S ribosomal RNA
Rfam family: Bacterial small subunit ribosomal RNA
Source: RNAcentral
AGUGAACGCUGGCGGUAGGCCUAACACAUGCAAGUCGAACGGCAGCACAGUAAGAGCUUGCUCUUACGGGUGGCGAGUGGCGGACGGGUGAGGAAUACAUCGGAAUCUACUUUUUCGUGGGGGAUAACGUAGGGAAACUUACGCUAAUACCGCAUACGACCUACGGGUGAAAGCAGGGGUUCUUGGGACUUUUGCUGUUUGAUUUAGCCGAUGUCGGAUUAGCUAGUUGGGGGGGUAAAGGCCCACCAAGGCGACGAUGCGUAGCUGGUCUGAGAGGAUGAUCAGCCACACUGGAACUGAGACACGGUCCAGACUCCUACGGGAGGCAGCAGUGGGGAAUAUUGGACAAUGGGCGCAAGCCUGAUCCAGCCAUACCGCGUGGGUGAAGAAGGCCUUCGGGUUGUAAAGCCCUUUUGUUGGGGAAGAAAAGCAGCAGGUUAAUACCCCGCUGUUCUGACGGUACCCAAACAAUAAGCACCGGCUAACUUCGUG